UGCAAGGGUACAACCAACUCCUCCACCAGAAUGUUUUGUUUUGCAAUCACUGCCGGAGCUUGAUACAUCUGCUGCAGGAGACUUCCUCUCAGGUGAAGAGGGUGGUAAAACAUUUUUGGAUCUAGAUAUUUCCCCUGCAGCCACAGUGGCAAGUAGGUUCAUCCCAUCAUCACCAGGGAAAGUAGAAGCACUUGCUUCUGAAAUUUUCACGCAGCUUUCAACCAAUGCAUUCAUGGGACUUAAGGAAGCAUCAUAAAUCUGCCCUGAUCUGGAAACAAAUCCCGAUGAGGAACUAGUGGGCUUCGAUGUUUCAGGUACUUUAUCACCAUCUUCACUAGCCACGCACCGCUCAUCACCAAUCGGGGAACGGCCCUCUGUAGAAUUCAUUACCAAAUGGUGUGCUACCUGUAGGAACCAUGAUCCGCUGUGCACUAGCACCAGCAAUAUAACUCUGAUCCCCUCUGCCAGGCAGAAGAGGCGGGACAGUAAUUGCUGAAUAAGAAUUGGCUGGAGGAAACCAUGAAGAAUAGCUACCAUAUUCAGGGUUAUUUGUUCUUGAGCCAUGAACAGCGGAAGGAAAUGGUAUGGGGCUUUUAAUCUGCUGACAACGAGCUGGGACUUCAGUGCUCACUUCAUCAAGGCCUGGUCCAUUAUUUAAAUCAAAGUCUCUUGAGACACUUCCACCAUUAGAUAUCCCACCUGACAAUGAAGGCUUACUAGAUAAAGAAGGAAUAUCCAGUUUGCCCACGGAGAAAGACCCAGCUUCAGGAGUCUCAUCAACUCUGUUUAAAUCAAGAUCAAAUCCCACUGCGCUGCGAUCGUGUGGCUGAGAUUCUAAAGAACCACGGGAAGCUACAUCAUCAAAACUGACUUCAUCUGCCACAUUUAAAUCAAAAUCUAAAAGAGGGCGGGGUUGUUUGAUAGGAGUGGCAUCAACAGAAGGAAUACCACUCGUAUUUGAUGGUGCCUCUGCAUUUUUCCUAGGUUCAGCUGGCCGGAAUGCACUUGUAGCUGCUGAUCCCUUCCAUCCGAGUUCCCCCUUAUUCCACAUUGGGCUUUCUGAUGGAACAACAGGCCCCUUGGCAGCAGAUGACGCUGUAAUUGAAGCAUACAAGCUCCCAGACAUGGAAGACAUGGGAAAAGGCAAUGCACAAGGGACAAGAACAGCAGAUGGAGUAGUAGGUUCUUCCUGUCUAACAAUCUCCCCUUGGCUUACAUCAUCCACAGGAAACCCCUCAUUCAAAUCAAAGUCCAGUUUUACUGCAGUAUCGGACCCAGAAUCUGUAAGGGACGGAUUAACAUUGGAUGUAUGCUGUUCAAGCACAGCCUCAGAUUCAUUUCCAUCUAAGUUACACUCUGAUGUUUCGGGGACUUCAUUCUCUUUCCCAGGAAAUGUUGGCAACUCGGGAUGACCUGAUAAGCCAGAACAGUGACCAAGAACCUCCUUUGUACCCAAAUUCUCUUCAACAUGUCCAUUGGUGCCAGCUGAAACAACUGAGUCCAGAUCCAUUGGUUUUUUGUCAGACUCAAUCUCGUCUGACUUCAAGUCAUCACUAUUGUCAUCCCUGGAUGCCAUUGAAGCAUUGCCAGCAGCAGUAGCUAGCUUGACAUCCUCCAUUUUCAAAUUUAUAGGCUCACCGUUUUCUGCAAGUGGAGAGGGCUUUUGCACUGCUAUGCCAGUAACUCUCACUUUCUCUGCAAUAAUCUGAUUCUCAUUACCAACAUCUGAUGAUAACUUAGAUGAUUUUUCAUCUACUUCCUUAUCGACAUUUACACAUGCAGGGACUUCCUUUGAAACCAAUAUUUUCUCAUUCUCUGUGAUUCUUUCAUCCACUUGAUCAUCUUUCUUAUCUACAUCAAAAGAGGAAUUUAGUGAUUUUAAUUUAGAGUCUGAACUACUGCUGCCUUUAGCCCAUUGACUUCCUAAUUCCUUCUGGACAUUUAAAAGGUUUGCUCCUCCAGGCUCCACAUCAGUCUCCUUCAUAGCUGGCAAUGCAGUUCCAGAAGCACCCUCUUUGAUUUCGGGCAGUAAGCAUGGACCUUCAGCGUUCUGCAACAAAUCUGUAGUGGAUAAAUUCAUUUGAGUUCUGCCAUCACCAGUGUUUUCAAGACAACUGGAUGACAUGGCUUCGCCAUCUCCAGAACCAUUGUGUGACACCAUCGUAACAGGAUGCCUCGAAUCAUUAUUAAAUUGCAAUGGGUCAACAGUCUCCAAAUAAUGCUCUCCAGUAGCCCCUCCAUCAGAUUGUGCAAGGGUACAACCAACUCCUCCACCAGAAUGUUUUGUUUUGCAAUCACUGCCGGAGCUUGAUACAUCUGCUGCAGGAGACUUCCUCUCAGGUGAAGAGGGUGGUAAAACAUUUUUGGAUCUAGAUAUUUCCCCUGCAGCCACAGUGGCAAGUAGGUUCAUCCCAUCAUCACCAGGGAAAGUAGAAGCACUUGCUUCUGAAAUUUUCACGCAGCUUUCAACCAAUGCAUUCAU
This 2482-nucleotide long non-coding RNA is filed under the name Lupinus angustifolius (narrow-leaved blue lupine). RNAcentral describes it as "long non-coding RNA (LANG_LNC000742)". Lineage: Eukaryota; Viridiplantae; Streptophyta; Magnoliopsida; Fabales; Fabaceae. The record is from RNAcentral.